Molecule: ribosomal RNA, 497 nt
Filed under: uncultured bacterium
Lineage: Bacteria
Description: partial 16S ribosomal RNA
Rfam family: Bacterial small subunit ribosomal RNA
Source: RNAcentral
GAUGAACGCUGGCGGCGUGCCUAAUACAUGCAAGUCGAGCGAACGGACGAGAAGCUUGCUUCUCUGAUGUUAGCGGCGGACGGGUGAGUAACACGUGGAUAACCUACCUAUAAGACUGGGAUAACUUCGGGAAACCGGAGCUAAUACCGGAUGAUAUUUUGAACCGCAUGGUUCAAAAGUGAAAGACGGUCUUGCUGUCACUUAUAGAUGGAUCCGCGCUGCAUUAGCUAGUUGGUAAGGUAACGGCUUACCAAGGCAACGAUGCAUAGCCGACCUGAGAGGGUGAGCGGCCACACUGGAACUGAGACACGGUCCAGACCCCUACGGGAGGCAGCAGUAGGGAAUCUUCCGCAAUGGGCGAAAGCCUGACGGAGCAACGCCGCGUGAGUGAUGAAGGUCUUCGGAUCUUAAAACUCUGUUAUUAGGGAAGAACAUAUGUGUAAGUAACUGUGCACAUCUUGACGGUACCUAAUCAGAAAGCCACGGCUAACUACGUG